Molecule: long non-coding RNA, 239 nt
Filed under: Elaeis guineensis (African oil palm)
Lineage: Eukaryota; Viridiplantae; Streptophyta; Magnoliopsida; Arecales; Arecaceae
Description: long non-coding RNA (EGUI_LNC062530)
Source: RNAcentral
GACCUGUGGUGUCAUAGUUACUCACAGUAAAAUUACUCACAGUAAAAUUAUUGUAGUUUGACUACAUAUAAGUAUUAACUCAAUUAUGAGUUUUUAUAGUGGAUGUUGGCUUCAGUUGAUUGAGCUACGAGAGCAAUGUCUGUAUUUAGAUAGGAUCUAUCAACUUUGAUGGAGAGGAAUAGUCCUAUGAGAUUUAAGAAGCUGAGUCCAUAAAUCUAUGGCUAUAAUAGUAUGAUUGA